This 404-nucleotide ribosomal RNA is filed under the name uncultured bacterium. Its description in RNAcentral is "partial 16S ribosomal RNA". It matches the Rfam family "Bacterial small subunit ribosomal RNA", at positions 28 to 526 of the family's 1533-position model. The record is from RNAcentral.
GACGAACGCUGGCGGCGUGCCUAAUACAUGCAAGUCGAACGCAGGGGGGACGGGUUAGUAACACGUGGGUAACCUCCCAUCAGAGGGGAUAAACCUUGGAAACUGGUGCUAAAUCCGACACUGAUGGAUGGACCCGCGGUGCAUUAGGUAGUGGGUGAGGUAACGGCUCACCAAGGCGACGAUGCAUAGCUGGCCUGAGAGGUUGAUCAGCCACACUGGGACUGAGACACGGCCCAGACUCCUACGGGAGGCAGCAGUAGGGAAUAUUCGGCAAUGGACGAAAGUCUGACCGAGCAACGCCGCGUGAGUGAAGAAGGUUUUCGGAUCGUAAAACUCUGUUGUUAGAGAAGCGGUAUCUAACCAGGAAGCCACGGCUAACUACGUGCCAGCAGCCGCGGUAAUAC